Molecule: transfer RNA, 65 nt
Filed under: Drilonius striatulus
Lineage: Eukaryota; Metazoa; Arthropoda; Insecta; Coleoptera; Omethidae
Description: tRNA-Pro
Source: RNAcentral
CAAAGAAUAGUUUAAUAAAAAUAUUAAUUUUGGAGAUUAAAGCUAGGAAUUUUUCUUUUCUUUGA